CCUACGGGGGGCUGUAGUGGGGAAUAUUGGACAAUGGGGGGAACCCUGAUCCAGCCAUGCCGCGUGUGUGAAGAAGGCCCUCGGGUUGUAAAGCACUUUCAGUGAGGAAGAACGCCUGGUGGUUAAUACCCAUCAGGAAAGACAUCACUCACAGAAGAAGCACCGGCUAACUCCGUGCCAGCAGCCGCGGUAAUACGGAGGGUGCGAGCGUUAAUCGGAAUUACUGGGCGUAAAGCGCGCGUAGGUGGCUUGAUAAGCCGGUUGUGAAAGCCCCGGGCUCAACCUGGGAACGGCAUCCGGAACUGUCAAGCUAGAGUGCAGGAGAGGAAGGUAGAAUUCCCGGUGUAGCGGUGAAAUGCGUAGAGAUCGGGAGGAAUACCAGUGGCGAAGGCGGCCUUCUGGACUGACACUGACACUGAGGUGCGAAAGCGUGGGUAGCAAACAGGAUUAGAUACCCCUGUAGUC
RNAcentral lists this ribosomal RNA (465 nucleotides) under Vreelandella stevensii. Its description in RNAcentral is "partial 16S ribosomal RNA". It matches the Rfam family "Bacterial small subunit ribosomal RNA", at positions 338 to 795 of the family's 1533-position model. Lineage: Bacteria; Pseudomonadati; Pseudomonadota; Gammaproteobacteria; Oceanospirillales; Halomonadaceae. The record is from RNAcentral.